AUGCCACUGACUUCUCCAUCAAGCAAAGCUGCCACGCUCCCAGGCUGCACAGCACCUUGUAGAUUCCCAUCCAGCAAGGGAAGGAACGCAUCCACCCAGAUCCCAGACUGCAGACUGAGAACAGGAAGACCCCACCGUGGAACUUCACCCCCAGAGGUCACACUGACAGUGUCGGGACGAGGACCUCUCACUGUACGACUUCUUAGGAAAAAUGCAAGUCACAGCUGUGCACAUUCCUCUCCGGAACUUCAGUGCAGUAUGGUAAGUGUUUGGAUUAUAGUCAUUCUUUACAAAAACCAGUACCAUCACUCUCAAGUGUUCUGUACUAUAUUAUCAAGCCUGAUGCGUGUAAUGGGAUGUGUUCUUGUCUCUCUUUUGUUAGGUACAUAGUGAAAUCUUCUGUGGUUUCAACCUGUGUUUCCCUAAUGACUAAUGGUGUGGGACACUGUUUCACAUGUUUAUUUGCUAUCUUUUGCUGGCAAAGUGUCUUUUGCACAUUUUUUUAUUUGGUUGGAGCACCUGUUGCUAUUGAGUUACAUUACUAUUUUAGGAGCUUUGUGGGUGUAUUGUUGACAUGCCGUACAUUGACUAUUUAAGAUACACAGUUGAAAAGUUUAGCAUAAGCGUUGUUGCAGUCAAGAUAAUGAGCGUGUGCACUGCCUUACGCGAGUGUCCGUGCACCCUUCCUCUGUUCCUCUUCCUCCGUCACCACGGGUUGGCUGACAGUUUUUGGAUUAUUACGUGGAUGGGAUCAGACAAGAUGUCCUCUUUCUGCCUGGCUUCUCUCAUUCAGCAGGGAGGUCCUGCAGUCAUCCAUGUCAGUGAGUGAUUCAGUAACUCAUUCCUUCCUUAUCACUGAUGGUGUCUCACUGCGUGCAUAUGCCUCAGUUUGUUUACCCAUUCACUUGCCGCGGGACAUUUGGGUUAUUUUCAGUCAUUAAAAAGAAAGCUGUUGUGAGCAUUUGUAUACAAGUCUUUUUAUGCGCAUUUGUUUUUGUUUACUUUGGGUAAAGAUAGUAAAUUCCUAGGAGUGGAGCCAACCGGGUUAUACAGUAGGUCUAUAUUUAACACUUGAAGAAGCUACACAACUGUUUUCA
RNAcentral lists this long non-coding RNA (1097 nucleotides) under Oryctolagus cuniculus (rabbit). Its description in RNAcentral is "lncRNA (ENSOCUG00000035215.1)". Lineage: Eukaryota; Metazoa; Chordata; Mammalia; Lagomorpha; Leporidae. The record is from RNAcentral.